Monopterus albus (swamp eel) is the source of this 888-nucleotide long non-coding RNA. RefSeq lists it as uncharacterized. The transcript has 5 exons. The record is from RefSeq and is a predicted model, not a curated record. NCBI's taxonomy places the organism in Eukaryota, Metazoa, Chordata, Actinopteri, Synbranchiformes, Synbranchidae.
ACGAAACACGCCCAUUACCGACGUAAAUCUCGACAUAACGUUUCAUCUGAUCUCAUUUUCAGUUACAGGAAAUGACCAAAGGAAAGGUGAAAAACAACAGCAGUGAUGGCAUAGCCCCACCUGAGCCUCAGUCACUCAGGUCAAGAAAGAGGGAGCAUCCAAGUGAUGACGCUUCCUGGGCUGAUGAUGUUCAGGUUAUGCUCCAUCAACAGGACACUGAAAAAAAUAAUACAGCAAUGGUCACCACACCGCUACCAUGUCCCCAGUUCCCUCUGCAGGAAUGUGCUACAAUCACAAAACAGCAGGGAGCAGUGGAACCCUGUCACCAAACAGGAAGGUACCAGAUCACCAUCUCAAACAUGCACUGAUCAACUCCAGGUCUUCAUACUAACCUCUGAAGAGGGUGAUGGAUCCUGUGCAACUGCUUUGGAAGAAGGUGCAAAUGAAAACUCUCAGUGUAAUUUGGAGAGGAAUCAAGAAACCACCCAAGAACAAUCCAGCAGCAUGUGCAAGAGUGAAGUCCAGGAAAUCAGAAAGGAGUCAGCAGCGGGGAUACCAACCAAAAAGAAGCGAAGGAUUGUUAUGUGUGGUCUGACAGAGAAGGAGCAGAGUCAUUUUUUUACAGACUCAAAAGCUUGAAAAUGGGCAGAAUGGAGUGGAGAGUGUUGAGAAGCUGAUGUGUAUUAACACAGCUUCUGACCUUGCGGCUCAGGAUGAGCUAUCUUCACCCCCGUUGCCAUCCUCACCGCUGUCCAUCCCAGUAGGCAGUGUUGCAGAGCAGAGUGAUGCAGAAAUCAUACUUCACUCCAGUCACUGUGUAGAAGAUAACAGGGCAGAAACUGAAGCCUAUGUUGCUGUCACCACCUCAGAUGGGACCCACACUGUCUG